Long non-coding RNA from Spea bombifrons (plains spadefoot toad), 236 nucleotides. RefSeq lists it as uncharacterized. The record is from RefSeq and is a predicted model, not a curated record. The transcript is spliced from 2 exons. Lineage: Eukaryota; Metazoa; Chordata; Amphibia; Anura; Pelobatidae.
GCAGUGGCUGCCGGUAGAUGUAGUCUUCGUGUUUGCGUCUUAACGAUCUGUGUUCCGCCUCGGAUCUUCGGUUGUCAGCAGCCAGUAUGAAAUCCAAACGAGAAAAUGCGCAUGGGCUAGGGAAACAGUAAAUAUUGACAAAAUAAGUAUUCCAAGUGUUGUGUGAUGUCAUCACAUGGUAUCCUGCUGCAGGAUAUCAUGGGGCUAUAUAAAUUAAUAAAGCUCAGUGACAUCAU